UUCCGGCUCCAUUAGGUACCAAUUGUUAAGACUGGUCGCUUUCCAAGAUUCCACAACACCUCCAAACACAUUCGAUCGUGGCUGAAAGUUCAAAAUUUACACAAAAUAGUUAACCAGAAAAAAGAGAAGAUAAAGGUUAACUACAAAAAUUAAAAUAUUAUAAGAAGAAAGUAAUGAUUGUCAAGAUGAAUUCUUGAUUAAGAAUUAAGUGAACAUUAUGACUAAUGGUCAUCUUAUUUAUAGGUAACCAGAGAGGUUGUAUGUAGUGUUAAGAAUCUUUUAACACUUAUCCAAGUAUAUUAAUCUAUUUGACAAGUAUACUUAAUCUUUCAUGCAUGAAGAUAUAUGGUAAAUUUGCAUAAUCACUUAUCAGAAUCAUUCAAUAUUUGGCUUUAAAUUAAUAUCAUAUAUAAAACUCUUGUCAUAUACAAUUAUCUAAUAGUAUUUGGCCACUUGAAAAUAGGUAGAAUACUAUAAAAAUAAAAAAGACUCAUGACAAUUGAUUGUAAAUAAAUUUACAAAUAAAAAUCUUUAAUUUUGUAUUAUAAAUAACACCAACAAGUCUCAUAGUUAAAAAUCAAAUAAAUAGAGAAACCACUUAUAGUCACAUAACAGAAAGUCAACUUGCAGUCAAUUCUCAUACUACAUAGAAAGGAACUAAAUGAACCCAACAUUUUCCGGCUAGCCGGCCGAAUUGACUUUGCCUUUGCAGUAGAACCUUGGAGAAGCAGGUAGAAGUUGUAGUUGGUGUAAGGAUAAUUUCAGUAUUCCUAAAAUACUUACCAUUUUCCUAUCAAUUCAACUCUAUGUUAAUUCAAUUUACCAAGUAACUAGGAGUUUAAACUGUAUAAUGUCGUACAGUGAAGGGCCAAACAAACGGUAAACUUAGGCUUUUGUAAGUGUCACAUCUUCUUUUUAUGUUAUAUCCUGCGAAGGAAGUAGAAAGAGAGUUUUUUCAAUUAAAGUGACAAUUGAAUUGAAAUUUAUUUAUUUAAAGAAUUCAGAGUCGCUACUUGGGAUGAUUUAUGGUAUCCUAAAUUACUGGUUCAAAUCCCGAAUCGAGGAAAACUGUAUUACAAUCUGCAAACCAGAAAUCCGGGUAAGGAAUUCUAUUAACACGAGAGAAGAUAUUAGGCAUUUUCGAGUUCCGUGGUUCUAGUACGGUCGAUCAACUGUUAUAUCUGGUUUAAUUAUUUGAUUUUAAUGCAUUUUGAACCUAUGUGCAUUUUAAACCUUUUAACCACUUUUAUUAUUUCAGGAAAAUUGCAACGAUGUUAAAACACGUCUUGAACCACGUCACAUAAAUGCACUCGCGGUCUUUGACAUAUUUUAACAUUGUUGGGAAUUGGAUUUGGGUCACAUAAAUGUGCACCCAAAUUUAGGAAGGUAGAUUUUUAACUAACGCGCCUAAAACAAUUAUGCGUUUUAAAGUUACGAGGACCAUGGGAAUUCGCUAAUGGCGCGCCUCGGAUUUCUAAGGGUUAAAGUACUAAUUAAAUGAGGGUCGUACAUUUUUGGGUUUUAUUCAGUACGGCGCACCUCAAAUCCAAUUUAAAAAGGGAAUUCAGAAUCAAAUUCUUAAGAACCAUGGCUAUAUUUACUAAGUGUAUCACACUUCAACUAAUCGUCUACAAGUCCUUAUUUUGGAACCAAGAGGGCCAUGGACCAUCGUUACUAAAAUAAUUAACUAAGGAACACAAUGGGCUUCUGCUUGCCUAAACAGGGCAUCUUAUUAAUUAGCAACCAUAAAGUAAAGGGCCCUAAUUAUUAGCUUGACUAGGGGAACCUCACAAAUUAAAAGGGCCUGACUUGAGGCCCAACACUUCCUAAUUGAUAAUAAUAUGGCAUCUGCAGCGGAAUAGUCCUAGUAAACAAGCAAAACUUUGUUCGAACCCUUAAUGCCAAAAUCGAUUGAGCAAUGGCUUUUGGAUUUACGAUUCAGCUGACUUCAAGAACAUCAAAUGACUGUUAGACAUUUCCUAACCGACCAUGAUGACACUACAAACUACAUUACUUCGAAGGGAUGAAAUAACAAAUGACCUGAACAUACUUUAUUCAUGUUAGUUUAGGCAAAGACUACAAUAUUAAUUCAUUUCGAACAUGCCAUAUCUGACACUAUCAUAAUCCUUUACCGAAUGAAUAGCUCACUAAUCUAGACUCUUAAAAGGAAAUUUCGACUAUAAUCAGAAAGAUAGUCAAACAUCCUUGAGAGUCCCUUUAUACAGAUCAACCAAUUCAAAAUAACAAAUUCACGUAAUCAAGCUAUAACAUAUUUCACAUUUCCAACCAAAACUAGGCUAGAGUAAACAGCUUUACAAGUACCCUCGAUAUACUUGAUUACAAACAUGGUGACAUCCUAUUCAAUUGUAGAGAGACCUAAACAAGAUAUCUCUAAACUGAGUAAGCACAUUAAGCAUGAGAUUAAAAGAGAAGAAGUGAGACUCAUAUAAAGAACAACCAAUUUAUUUACAUUUAUCAGAUUCAAACUUCAAAAUACAUUGAGAUGGUGUCCAUGGGAUUGACGAAUACCUGAAACGAAAGGAAAAUGGAAGGCAGGAUCAACAGUAAUUAACAACAGUAAUCAUCAAUAAAAUAGUUCCCCAGCCUCAGCUCUGAACCAGGAACAGUGUGUAACAAAAGAUCGAUCAACACUUUGAGACAAGCCUUUUAAGCACCACACUAAAACCAUUUCAGCCCCACUCAGGUCGUGGAUCACUCCAAGAAAUGAAGCUAAGAAAUUUGCAGAAAUAGCUAAUGAAAUAGUGAAUCUCACUAGAAAAUUCUUAGCUGCCUGUAUUUCUGAGGGUUCU
Molecule: long non-coding RNA, 2810 nt
Filed under: Nicotiana benthamiana
Lineage: Eukaryota; Viridiplantae; Streptophyta; Magnoliopsida; Solanales; Solanaceae
Description: long non-coding RNA (NBEN_LNC022750)
Source: RNAcentral